AGUGAACGCUGGCGGUAGGCCUAACACAUGCAAGUCGAACGGCAGCACAGAGGAGCUUGCUCCUUGGGUGGCGAGUGGCGGACGGGUGAGGAAUACAUCGGAAUCUACUCUGUCGUGGGGGAUAACGUAGGGAAACUUACGCUAAUACCGCAUACGACCUACGGGUGAAAGCAGGGGAUCUUCGGACCUUGCGCGAUUGAAUGAGCCGAUGUCGGAUUAGCUAGUUGGCGGGGUAAAGGCCCACAAAGGCGACGAUCCGUAGCUGGUCUGAGAGGAUGAUCAGCCACACUGGAACUGAGAAACGGUCCAGACUCUUACGGGAGGCAGCAGUGGGGAAUAUUGGACAAUGGGCGCAAGCCUGAUCCAGCCAUACCGCGUGGGUGAAGAAGGCCUUCGGGUUGUAAAGCCCUUUUGUUGGGAAAGAAAUCCAUCUGGUUAAUACCCGGGUGGGAUGACGGUACCCAAAGAAUAAGCACCGGCUAACUUCGUGCCAGCAGCCGCCGUAA
This 506-nucleotide ribosomal RNA is filed under the name uncultured bacterium. RNAcentral describes it as "partial 16S ribosomal RNA". It matches the Rfam family "Bacterial small subunit ribosomal RNA", at positions 29 to 523 of the family's 1533-position model. The record is from RNAcentral.